Molecule: ribosomal RNA, 460 nt
Filed under: uncultured bacterium
Lineage: Bacteria
Description: partial 16S ribosomal RNA
Rfam family: Bacterial small subunit ribosomal RNA
Source: RNAcentral
CCUACGGGAGGCAGCAGUGAGGAAUAUUGGUCAAUGGACGAGAGUCUGAACCAGCCAAGUAGCGUGAAGGAUGACUGCCCUAUGGUUUGUAAACUUCUUUUAUGUGGGAAUAAAACGUUCCACGUGUGGGAUUUUGUAUGUACCAUAUUAAUAAGGAUCGGCUAACUCCGUGCCAGCAGCCGCGGUAAUACGGAGGAUCCGAGCGUUAUCCGGAUUUAUUGGGUUUAAAGGGAGCGUAGGUGGAUUGUUAAGUCAGUUGUGAAAGUUUGCGGCUCAACCGUAAAAUUGCAGUUGAAACUGGCAGUCUUGAGUACAGUAGAGGUGGGCGGAAUUCGUGGUGUAGCGGUGAAAUGCUUAGAUAUCACGAAGAACUCCGAUUGCGAAGGCAGUUCACUGGACUGCAACUGACACUGAGGCUCGAAAGUGUGGGUAUCAAACAGGAUUAGAUACCCGAGUAGUC